CGGAGGUGGCAAGCGUUACUCGGAAUUAUUGGGCGUAAAGGGCAAGUAGGUGGCUUUGUAAGUGAGGGGUGAAAUACUCCGGCUCAAUCGGAGAACUGCCUUUCAUACUGCAUUGCUUGAGGAUGGUAGGGGUAAGGGAAUUCCCGGUGUAAGGGUGAAAUCUGUAGAUAUCGGGAAGAACACCAGCGGCGAAGGCGCUUACCUGGACCAUUCCUGACACUGAAUUGCGAAAGCUAGGGGAGCAAACAGAAUUAGAUACUCUGGUAGUCCUAGCCGUAAACGAUGAGCACUAGGUGUUGGCUCCGUUAGGAGUCAGUGCCGCAGCUAACGCAUUAAGUGCUCCACCUGAGGACUACGGUCGCAAGGCUA
This 369-nucleotide ribosomal RNA is filed under the name uncultured organism. Its description in RNAcentral is "bacterial SSU rRNA". It matches the Rfam family "Bacterial small subunit ribosomal RNA", at positions 526 to 896 of the family's 1533-position model. The record is from RNAcentral.